AGCGGCGGACGGGUGAGUAAUGCCUAGGAAUCUGCCUGGUAGUGGGGGAUAACGUUCGGAAACGGACGCUAAUACCGCAUACGUCCUACGGGAGAAAGCAGGGGACCUUCGGGCCUUGCGCUAUCAGAUGAGCCUAGGUCGGAUUAGCUAGUUGGUGGGGUAAUGGCUCACCAAGGCGACGAUCCGUAACUGGUCUGAGAGGAUGAUCAGUCACACUGGAACUGAGACACGGUCCAGACUCCUACGGGAGGCAGCAGUGGGGAAUAUUGGACAAUGGGCGAAAGCCUGAUCCAGCCAUGCCGCGUGUGUGAAGAAGGUCUUCGGAUUGUAAAGCACUUUAAGUUUGGGAGGAAGGGCAGUUGCCUAAUACGUAACUGUUUUGACGUUACCGACAGAAUAAGCACCGGCUAACUCUGUGCCAGCAGCCGCGGUAAUACAGAGGGUGCAAGCGUUAAUCGGAANUACUGGGCGUAAAGCGCGCGUAGG
RNAcentral lists this ribosomal RNA (486 nucleotides) under uncultured Gammaproteobacteria bacterium. RNAcentral describes it as "bacterial SSU rRNA". It matches the Rfam family "Bacterial small subunit ribosomal RNA", at positions 94 to 575 of the family's 1533-position model. The record is from RNAcentral. Lineage: Bacteria; Pseudomonadati; Pseudomonadota; Gammaproteobacteria.